ACAAAUCUUUUAAAAUAUUUGACAUUGGUUCAGGGUAAAACUUGUACCUAAUGUUAAUAUAUUUACCCGGAGCCAGUUUGGCUCGGUCAAUUUUUGUAGGGAUUUUCCGUACGAAAAUUGUCAAUUGAGCUAUUGAAGUGAAAUAUAUUCAGUAGCACAUAAACCCGAUUGUAUUUGUUUGACAGUGUAUUAUUUAAUUGUAUUGUGAACACAUUUGUGUUAAUUUUACUAUUAAGUAUUAUUUUAAAAAUAUAUA
Molecule: unclassified non-coding RNA, 256 nt
Filed under: soil metagenome
Description: partial internal transcribed spacer 1
Source: RNAcentral